RNAcentral lists this ribosomal RNA (301 nucleotides) under uncultured bacterium. Its description in RNAcentral is "partial 16S ribosomal RNA". It matches the Rfam family "Bacterial small subunit ribosomal RNA", at positions 509 to 807 of the family's 1533-position model. The record is from RNAcentral.
CAGCAGCCGCGGGAAUACGAGGGGGGCAAGCGUUGUUCGGAAUUAUUGGGCGUAAAGGGCGCGUAGGCGGUUUGACAAGUCUUGUGUGAAAUCUCUGGGCUCAACCCAGAGUCUGCACGGGAAACUGUCGGGCUAGAGGAUGGGAGAGGAGAGUGGAAUUCCACGUGUAGCGGUGAAGUGCGUAGAGAUGUGGAGGAACACCAGUGGCGAAGGCGACUCUCUGGUCUGUAACUGACGCUGAGGAGCGAAAGCGUGGGGAGCGAACAGGAUUAGAUACCCGUGUAGUCCCUGUCUCUUAUAC